GAGUUAUCUGAACCUUCGGGGAACGAUAACGGCGUCGAGCGGCGGACGGGUGAGUAAUGCCUAGGAAAUUGCCCUGAUGUGGGGGAUAACCAUUGGAAACGAUGGCUAAUACCGCAUAAUACCUUCGGGUCAAAGAGGGGGACCUUCGGGCCUCUCGCGUCAGGAUAUGCCUAGGUGGGAUUAGCUAGUUGGUGAGGUAAUGGCUCACCAAGGCGACGAUCCCUAGCUGGUCUGAGAGGAUGAUCAGCCACACUGGAACUGAGACACGGUCCAGACUCCUACGGGAGGCAGCAGUGGGGAAUAUUGCACAAUGGGCGCAAGCCUGAUGCAGCCAUGCCGCGUGUGUGAAGAAGGCCUUCGGGUUGUAAAGCACUUUCAGUCGUGAGGAAGGUAGUGUAGUUAAUAGCUGCAUUAUUUGACGUUAGCGACAGAAGAAGCACCGGCUAACUCCGUGCCAGCAGCCGCGGUAAUACGGAGGGUGCGAGCGUUAAUCGGAAUUACUGGGCGUAAAGCGCAUGCAGGUGGUUUGUUAAGUCAGAUGUGAAAGCCCGGGGCUCAACCUCGGAAUAGCAUUUGAAACUGGCAGACUAGAGUACUGUAGAGGGGGGUAGAAUUUCAGGUGUAGCGGUGAAAUGCGUAGAGAUCUGAAGGAAUACCGGUGGCGAAGGCGGCCCCCUGGACAGAUACUGACACUCAGAUGCGAAAGCGUGGGGAGCAAACAGGAUUAGAUACCCUGGUAGUCCACGCCGUAAACGAUGUCUACUUGGAGGUUGUGGCCUUGAGCCGUGGCUUUCGGAGCUAACGCGUUAAGUAGACCGCCUGGGGAGUACGGUCGCAAGAUUAAAACUCAAAUGAAUUGACGGGGGCCCGCACAAGCGG
Molecule: ribosomal RNA, 879 nt
Filed under: Vibrio sp. 2.3.052DS3
Lineage: Bacteria; Pseudomonadati; Pseudomonadota; Gammaproteobacteria; Vibrionales; Vibrionaceae
Description: bacterial SSU rRNA
Rfam family: Bacterial small subunit ribosomal RNA
Source: RNAcentral